RNAcentral lists this non-coding RNA (79 nucleotides) under Arabidopsis thaliana (thale cress). Lineage: Eukaryota; Viridiplantae; Streptophyta; Magnoliopsida; Brassicales; Brassicaceae. The record is from RNAcentral.
CAUAUCUCAGGAGCUUUAACUUGCCCUUUAAUGGCUUUUACUCUUCUUUGGAUUGAAGGGAGCUCUACAUCUUCUUUCA